Molecule: ribosomal RNA, 460 nt
Filed under: uncultured bacterium
Lineage: Bacteria
Description: partial 16S ribosomal RNA
Rfam family: Bacterial small subunit ribosomal RNA
Source: RNAcentral
CCUACGGGGGGCAGCAGUGAGGAAUAUUGGUCAAUGGGCGUAAGCCUGAACCAGCCAAGUCGCGUGAGGGAUGAAGGUUCUAUGGAUCGUAAACCUCUUUUAUAAGGGAAUAAAGUGCGGGACGUGUCCCGUUUUGUAUGUACCUUAUGAAUAAGGAUCGGCUAACUCCGUGCCAGCAGCCGCGGUAAUACGGAGGAUCCGAGCGUUAUCCGGAUUUAUUGGGUUUAAAGGGUGCGUAGGCGGUCAGGUAAGUUAGAGGUGAAAGCUCGAUGCUCAACAUCGAAACUGCCUCUGAUACUGUCUGACUAGAGUGUAGUUGCGGAAGGCGGAAUGUGUGGUGUAGCGGUGAAAUGCUUAGAUAUCACACAGAACACCGAUUGCGAAGGCAGCUUUCCAAGCUAUUACUGACGCUGAGGCACGAAAGCGUGGGGAGCGAACAGGAUUAGAUACCCGGGUAGUC